RNAcentral lists this unclassified non-coding RNA (404 nucleotides) under soil metagenome. RNAcentral describes it as "partial contains 5.8S ribosomal RNA, internal transcribed spacer 2, and large subunit ribosomal RNA". The stretch from base 1 to 121 matches the Rfam family "5.8S ribosomal RNA", at positions 35 to 154 of the family's 154-position model. The record is from RNAcentral.
GAUGAAGAACUUAGUGAAAUGCGAUAAGUAAUGUGAAUUGCAGAAUUCAGUGAAUCAUCGAAUCUUUGAACGCACCUUGCGCCCUUUGGCUAUUCCGAAGGGCAUGCCUGUUUGAGUAUCAUGAACACCUCAACCCUCAUGGUUUGCCAUGACGGGCUUGGACUUUGGGGGUCUUGCUGGAUUGUAGUCAGCUCCCCUUAAACAAAUCAGCUUGCCAGUGUUUGGUGGCAUCACAGGUGUGAUAACUAUCUAUGCUUGUGGUUUUACAUCAGAUAACCUUCAGUGAUGGAGGUUCACUGGAGCUCAUAAAGGUGUCUCUCCUCUGUGAGGACAGCUCUUUGAAUGUUUGAUCUCAAAUCAGGCAGGACUACCCGCUGAACUUAAGCAUAUCAAUAAGCGGAGGA